CCUACGGGAGGCAGCAGUGGGGGAUAUUGGACAAUGGGGGAAACCCUGAUCCAGCGACGCCGCGUGAGUGAAGAAGUAUUUCGGUAUGUAAAGCUCUGUCAGCAGGGAAGAACGAACUGACGGUACCUGACCAAGAAGCCCCGGCUAACUACGUGCCAGCCGCCGCGGUAAUACGUAGGGGGCAAGCGUUAUCCGGAAUUACUGGGUGUAAAGGGCGCGUAGACGGUGAUGUAAGUCUGGAGUGAAAGGCGGGGGCCCAACCCCCGGACUGCUUUGGAAACUGUGUAACUUGAGUGCAGGAGAGGUAAGCGGAAUUCCUAGUGUAGCGGUGAAAUGCGUAGAUAUAAGGAGGAACACCAGUGGCGAAGGCGACUUACUGGUCUGUAACUGACGUUGAGGCGCGAAAGCGUGGGGAGCAAACAGGAUUAGAUACCCUAGUAGUC
Molecule: ribosomal RNA, 443 nt
Filed under: uncultured bacterium
Lineage: Bacteria
Description: partial 16S ribosomal RNA
Rfam family: Bacterial small subunit ribosomal RNA
Source: RNAcentral